CCUACGGGAGGCAGCAGUAGGGAAUCUUCCACAAUGGGCGAAAGCCUGAUGGAGCAACGCCGCGUGGGUGAAGAAGGUCUUCGGAUCGGAAAACCCUGUUGGUAGAGAAGAAAGUGCGGGAGAGGAACUGGUCACGUGUCGACGGUAUCUAACCAGAAAGCCACGGCUAACUACGUGCCAGCAGCCGCGGUAAUACGUAGGUGGCAAGCGUUAUCCGGAUUUAUUGGGCGUAAAGGGAACGAAGGCGGUCUUUUAAGUCGGAUGUGAAAGCCUUCGGCUUACCCGGAGUAGUGCAUUGGAAACUGGGAGCCUUGAGUGCAGCAGUGGAGAGUGGCACUCCAUGUGUAGCGGUGCACUGCGUCGCUCUAUGGAAG
RNAcentral lists this ribosomal RNA (374 nucleotides) under uncultured bacterium. RNAcentral's name for it is "partial 16S ribosomal RNA". It matches the Rfam family "Bacterial small subunit ribosomal RNA", at positions 338 to 704 of the family's 1533-position model. The record is from RNAcentral.